GACGGGUGUGGCUGUGCACACCUGUAAUCCCAGCAGCUCAGAGAUUGAGGCAGGAGGAUCACAAGUUCAAAGCCAGCUUCAGGAAUUUAGCAAGUCCCAAAGCAACUUAGUGAGACCCUGUCUCAA
RNAcentral lists this small RNA (126 nucleotides) under Marmota monax (woodchuck). Lineage: Eukaryota; Metazoa; Chordata; Mammalia; Rodentia; Sciuridae. The record is from RNAcentral.